Molecule: long non-coding RNA, 783 nt
Organism: Mytilus californianus (California mussel)
Lineage: Eukaryota; Metazoa; Mollusca; Bivalvia; Mytilida; Mytilidae
Exons: 3
Source: RefSeq, a predicted model, not a curated record
UAAUGAUCCAUUUUGCAGUGACGAUGACAAUCAAAGUUUAGGGCAAGAAAUAUAGAAGAUAAAGAAAAAUAUAAACAAUUACAACUGUACAGUAGAAAUGAUCGGCAAAACAAGAUAAACAGAAGACAACAAGGCCUAAAUGGUGCAGAGACUUCUUGGUUUUCAUGAUCAUCAACAGAUCAAUACAGAAGAGGAAACUUAAGGUUAAUACUUUUCUACAUUGUGUGCUAAUUGGAUUAAUGUGAAAUGAAAUGUGUGCUUACCUGGAAAAAGAAAAUAGGAAAUUUCUACAAAAUGGCUGUAAACAAAAUGGAGUACAAUCAUAGAUGCACAAGAACACAAUUGUGUAAUUGCAACAACCUACACUGAAGGAUUAGGGAGAAAUGUAGAAAAAAUAGUAUUUUUUUGUUGAAAUAAACACCUGCUUUAUCCAUUCAUGUACAUAGCUCUGUCAUAUCAACUAUAUAGAGGAAGAUGUUUGAAGAACAAAUUGCAAAAACGUAUUCUCUACCAAUUGAAGGAAGAUGUCUGGUGGAUGGAAUUAUUUAUGCACUGAACUGUUUUGUAGGGGAUUGAAUAAUUGUACGCAGCAGAAAAGUUAAAUUAACAUGAAAAGUGGUUAUUUUAUUUAAUCCGCAAAUAUGAGCACAAUAUUAAUAACAUCACAAAUAGUAUGAUAUUCAUAGCGUUUUGCUUAUUAUUGUAUUGUCUCAAACAGCUAGCCUAUUGUUUUUCUAUGUCAUGAUACUCAUCAGUGAACAUUUUAUUAAAGUUUUAAUUAUC